UACGUAGGGUGCAAGCGUUAUCCGGAAUUAUUGGGCGUAAAGAGCUCGUAGGCGGUUUGUCGCGUCUGCUGUGAAAACCGGAGGCUCAACCUCCGGCCUGCAGUGGGUACGGGCAAACUAGAGUGCGGUAGGGGAGACUGGAAUUCCUGGUGUAGCGGUGAAAUGCGCAGAUAUCAGGAGGAACACCGGUGGCGAAGGCGGGUCUCUGGGCCGUAACUGACGCUGAGGAGCGAAAGCGUGGGGAGCGAACAGG
Molecule: ribosomal RNA, 253 nt
Filed under: uncultured bacterium
Lineage: Bacteria
Description: partial 16S ribosomal RNA
Rfam family: Bacterial small subunit ribosomal RNA
Source: RNAcentral